Molecule: ribosomal RNA, 253 nt
Filed under: uncultured bacterium
Lineage: Bacteria
Description: partial 16S ribosomal RNA
Rfam family: Bacterial small subunit ribosomal RNA
Source: RNAcentral
UACAGAGGUCUCAAGCGUUGUUCGGAUUCAUUGGGCGUAAAGGGCGCGUAGGUGGCUCUGUAUGUCUACCGUGAAAGCAUACAGCUCAACUGUAUUUUGUCGGUAGAAACUGCAGGACUUGAGGCUGGGAGGGGCUGGUGGAAUUCCCUGUGUAGCGGUGAAAUGCGUAGAGAUGGGGGAGAACACUCGUGGCGAAGGCGGCCAGCUAGACCAGUUCUGACACUGAGGCGCGACAGCGUGGGGAGCAAACAGG